AUUGAACGCUGGCGGCAGGCUUAACACAUGCAAGUCGAGCGAGCGGAGGACGGGUGAGUAAUGUCUGGGAAACUGCCUGAUGGAGGGGGAUAACUACUGGAAACGGUAGCUAAUACCGCAUACCAUCAGAUGUGCCCAGAUGGGAUUAGCUAGUAGGUGGGGUAAUGGAUCACCUAGGCGACGACCCCUAGCUGGCCUUAGAGGAUGACCGGCCACACUGGAACUCAGACACGGUCCAGACUCCUACGGGAGGCAGCAGUGGGGAUUAUUGCACAAUGGGCCCAAGCCUGAUGCAGCCAUGCCGCGUGUGUGAAGAAGGUCUUCGGGUUGUAAAGCACUUUCAGCGAGGAGGCGUUACUCGCAGAAGAAGCACCGGCUAACUCCGUGCCAGCCGCCGCGGUAAUUC
Molecule: ribosomal RNA, 406 nt
Filed under: uncultured bacterium
Lineage: Bacteria
Description: partial 16S ribosomal RNA
Rfam family: Bacterial small subunit ribosomal RNA
Source: RNAcentral